UUUGCAGAUGCACAAGUCUGGGGCAAGGCUGCUCCUCCUGCAGGGGCAAAAUAAUCGCUGUGGAGUUUUACUUUGAUUUGUCUGAGCUAGUUUUGGACUCUACAGACAGGUGUUGGGCAAGGACAAGGAGGCUCUGGUGGGGUCUUCACCGCAUUCUGGCAGGACUUGCAGCUGGCCUUCAGAGAGCACUGUGCUGCUGGACAGUGCCCACAUGAGUUGCUGGAAAGGCUCCAGGGGAGCAGGGGCACCGGCUGCAGAGGGCUGGGCACAGGACGUUCAGUGGGGCUUUCCUUCUGCAGGCGUUAUUUACAGUUGGUAUUAACGGAUAUGUCCUGUUUGCAGCUGGAAGUGGGCAGCUCGCUGAGUGCGUUUCUCCGCCCUGCUUCGAGGGGUUUGUUGACCUUGUGACCUGCCCACGGCAUGUUGAAGACUGACCGAGGUGCAAAUGGAAGCAUAGGCUGGGUUUGGUGUUUUGUUUGGAGGCCUUGUGAGGGUACAAGGAUUGUGUGGCUUUGCAUCACAGACACAUAUCAUUUUUCAGAAGUGCUGCUGCAUUGCAAAUAGGAGUAUCUCCUUAUGAUCCAAAGAAAAUAAGAUUCAGCAAAUAAACCUCUCCAGAACAAGAAAGCCAUCCUGAAUGGUUGUCCAUGUGUUGAACUGCUGCAGUGUCAUAUGCCACUCUCUGAUACUGGGAAAAGACAAGGUCUGUUUGAAAUGCAGACGUAUGUGGCCUGGUGGAGGCUGCAUGGAUUUCAGCGGGAGCCUGAAGUGCAUCCAGAUCUUGUGGUGCUUGAGGUGAGGAAGAUGCAGCAAAAUCAGUGGUAUCUCCUCUUAGGGAUGUGGAUCCUUGCACUUAGGAAGAACUCCUGGUUGAACAAAGAAUAGAAAUCAGCUGAAGUCAGCCUGAAGCAGAACAGCUUUCUGCAAAGCAAACCAAGAACUACGCCCAGAUUUAUUUGUUCUCCCUCAAACCAAACAUUUUACAUAUUCUACACUGACAACUCAUCUCCUCAUCAUUUCUAGAUUAUUUAACCCUAUAUUUCUUUUUUUUUUUUUUUUCUGUUUGUAAAUUAGGUCCCAUUCUCAAUCAACUGCAUUUUCAGAAGUUGGAGUAAAAGUGUUAUGUUUUGAUAAAGGUGAAUAAAUACUGAACUUUUCUAAAUGGUAUAAUUUUCAGUUUGGGUAAUGCUGGAAAACAAAUAGUUGUGAUAUCUUAAAAAUCUUCCUAAGCUUUUUUUUUUUUUUUUUUCUUCAGACACACUUUGAUGAAUUUACUCGUGACUUUUGAAUAGUUUUUGUCCCUGCACUACUUCUUUUUUUCAGUGAAGUGAUGAUUAUUUUGAAUGUUUUAUCCAUCUGUUCCAGCCACUUACUUGCCUCAUGCAAUGCUGAAAGCCACUUAAAUGUUCUCUGUGGUUCUUUGUUUCCUGGAUGUAAUGGAGAGCAAGGGAAGAGAAAACAUCUUACUUGAAGAGAUAAGUCUUCGUUACUAUUUGUUUCCUGCAAAAGCUUAGCCUACACAUACCCACUGAACCAUUCCUACUCACAUACACAGUUCCCAGCUCAAUUGUUAGCGCUCCUGCUGCACAGUGCUUUGGAAGACGCUCAGAGAGUCUGUUGAUCUUCAGGGAAACCCCCUAGAUUUCCUUUCUUAUUAUUCAUGGGGAUUUCCCAGUCUGAUGCAGAAAAACAAGGAUCAAAGUGUUUUACAUGUUGAUGGAUGUCUCCGGCUUCUUCACUGUAUUUAAAAGCUUAAGCAAAUGAGUGGCCAUAAAUAGAAUUAUUAAAGUGAUAGAAGUGGGAGGAACACAAGCAGAAAGUAAUAUUUUGUAUAUUUUUCAAAAUGUGUUGUUAGACUAGCAUUCAUAACAGAGCUUAACACACUGAUAUUUACUGUGCUCCAGGGAGUGAUGGAGAAAAAGGAAUGGAAAACAGUAAUUUUGUAACUGUACUUUCUAUAGCAAUAGGAAAGAAAAAAAUACAUUUAUACAUUUACCACCGAAGUGUGAUGUGGAUGAGCAUGACCACAUCUCCAAAAGUAAGGAAGUGUGUAGCACCACACGGCAUUUACUCCCUGCUAACUUCAAACUUGGCCUUCUUCUUUUAUAUAUAUAUAUAUAUAUAUAUAUAUAUAUAUGAGUCUUAUCAUAUGUUGAUAUCAAGUUAAAAAAAAUCCUUUUGCAUGCAUGCAUAAUUGGUCAUAAUCAUUAUCUUUCAGUUUUUCAGCAGUAUAAGGAAGUUUGUGGUCAAUCUGAAAACCAUGCAAAACCUCACAGAAGCACUAAGUUUUCCACUAAGCACUAUGAGCAAAAAGUUUAUGUCUGCAGACUAUAUUAGACUUCAUUAUUAUAGCAGAGGAAAAUAUCUGCACUUCUUUCAAGCACUCAUCAAUAGACCUUUAUGAUGAUAAUUCGUGUUUUUAUCUUUCAGCAAAACAGCCUGAGUUAAAAGUUCAAUAAUUUUGU
This is a long non-coding RNA of Cygnus olor (mute swan), 2465 nucleotides long. RefSeq lists it as uncharacterized. The transcript has 5 exons. NCBI's taxonomy places the organism in Eukaryota, Metazoa, Chordata, Aves, Anseriformes, Anatidae. The record is from RefSeq and is a predicted model, not a curated record.